UACGUAGGGCGCGAGCGUUGUCCGGAUUUAUUGGGCGUAAAGAGCUCGUAGGCGGUUUGUUGCGUCUGCUGUGAAAACGCGGGGCUUAACUUCGCGCGUGCAGUGGGUACGGGCAGGCUAGAGUGCGGUAGGGGAGAUUGGAAUUCCUGGUGUAGCGGUGGAAUGCGCAGAUAUCAGGAGGAACACCGAUGGCGAAGGCAGGUCUCUGGGCCGUUACUGACGCUGAGGAGCGAAAGCGUGGGGAGCGAACAGGAUUAGAUACC
RNAcentral lists this ribosomal RNA (263 nucleotides) under uncultured bacterium. RNAcentral's name for it is "partial 16S ribosomal RNA". It matches the Rfam family "Bacterial small subunit ribosomal RNA", at positions 524 to 786 of the family's 1533-position model. The record is from RNAcentral.